RNAcentral lists this ribosomal RNA (1212 nucleotides) under metagenome. RNAcentral describes it as "bacterial LSU rRNA". It matches the Rfam family "Bacterial large subunit ribosomal RNA", at positions 1711 to 2925 of the family's 2925-position model. The record is from RNAcentral.
UUGGCGGCAAAUUGACACCGUAACUUCGGGAUAAGGUGUGCCACUGAGGGUGAAGAGCCUUGCGCUCGUAAGCCUUCGGGGGUUGCAACAAAGAGGCGGUAGCGACUGUUUACCAAAAACACAGGCCUGUGCGAAGCCGUAAGGCGACGUAUACGGGUUGACGCCUGCCCGGUGCCGGAAGGUUAAGGGGAGUGGUCAGCGAAAGCGAAGCUGCGAACCGAAGCCCCGGUAAACGGCGGCCGUAACAAUAACGGUCCUAAGGUAGCGAAAUUCCUUGUCGGGUAAGUUCCGACCUGCACGAAUGGCGUAACGACUUCCGCGCUGUCUCGAUCACGGUCUCAGCGAAAUUGACAUUGGGGUGAAGAUGCCCCAUACCCGCAGCAAGACGGAAAGACCCUGUGAACCUUUACUCUAACUUGGCAGCGACAUUCGGUUCAGCUUGUGUAGGAUAGGUGGGAGACGAUGAAGCGGGGGCGCCAGCCUUCGUGGAGUCAACGUUGAAAUACCACCCUGGUUGUGCUGGAUGUCUAACCCGGCCCUUGUGGCGGGGACACUGCCUGGCGGGGAGUUUGACUGGGGCGGUCGCCUCCCAAACAGUAACGGAGGCGCGCAAAGAUUCCCUCAGCGUGAUCGGAAACCACGCGCAGAGUGCAAAGGCAGAAGGGAGUUUGACUGCAAGAUCGACAGAUCGAGCAGGUGCGAAAGCAGGCCUUAGUGAUCCGGCGGUCCCACAUGGGAGGGCCGUCGCUCAUCGGAUAAAAGGUACUCCGGGGAUAACAGGCUUAUCACGCCCAAGAGUUCACAUCGACGGCGUGGUUUGGCACCUCGAUGUCGGCUCAUCGCAUCCUGGGGCUGGAGCAGGUCCCAAGGGUUUGGCUGUUCGCCAGUUAAAGCGGUACGCGAGCUGGGUUCAAAACGUCGUGAGACAGUUUGGUCCCUAUCUGCUGUGGGCGCAGGAGAGUUGAGAGACGCUGUCCUUAGUACGAGAGGACCGGGAUGGACGUUCCUCUGGUGUUCCGGUUGUCGCGCCAGCGGCAUAGCCGGAUAACCAUGAACGGAAGGGAUAACCGCUGAAAGCAUCUAAGUGGGAAGCCCAUCUCCAGAUAAACUCUCCCUUGAGGGCCCAGAAAGACCAUCUGGUUGAUAGGCGGGGCGUAUAAACGCAGCAAUGCGUGCGCGGACCCGUACUAAUCGCCCGAACGACUUGACCCC